Molecule: unclassified non-coding RNA, 433 nt
Filed under: soil metagenome
Description: partial contains 5.8S ribosomal RNA, internal transcribed spacer 2, and large subunit ribosomal RNA
Rfam family: 5.8S ribosomal RNA (bases 1-120)
Source: RNAcentral
GAUGAAGAACGUAGCGAAAUGCGAUACGUAAUGUGAAUUGCAGAAUUCAGUGAAUCAUCGAAUCUUUGAACGCAUAUUGCGCUCUCUGGUAUUCCGGAGAGCAUGCUUGUUUGAGUAUCAGUAAACACCUCAACUUCCAUAUCUUAUUUGAAAUGGGAGUUGGACUUGAGUGAUCCCAACGCUUUUCCUCACCGAAAAGUGGCGGGUUACUUGAAAUGCAGGUGCAGCUGGACUUUUCUCUGAGCUAUAAGCAUAUCUAUUUCGUCUGCCUAAAAAACAGAUUAUUACCUUUGCUGCAGCUAACAUAAAGGAGAUUAGUUCUUGUGCUGACUGAUGCAGGAUUCACAAAGACAGGCUUCGGCCGACUUUGUAAACUCGAUCUCAAAUCAAGUAAGACUACCCGCUGAACUUAAGCAUAUCAAUAAGCGGAGGA